UGGGUCAUCGUGACGUGGAUCUGUGCCGUGGAAGUCUGGAAUGUUUCAAGGAAUACCUAUAAAAGGACGAGAAAGACGGACAACGGGGGCUUCUUACGACCUCACUGCUGCUUUGGGAAACGUUGCUUGGAACACUAACUAUACACGGGCGCCUGUUGCCUUUUGCUUCUGGACCCGGUAGAACUUUCGUAAACUUGGAAUACCCGCUGGAAGGAACAUUUACUCGUUGGGAAAUAUUCGUUCGACGUUGGUGAUUAUUCGCCGUUUUGGCCCAACUACUCUGUUCUUGUACUUCUAUUUUGUGUUAGCUAUUUUGUCGUGUUUUAGUUGUGUUGAGCAAAGGGGACGUUAGUCUAAAUUCACACGAAACAAAAUAUCCAUACAAUUAAAAAAAACAUUUAGCUUUGCUAAGGUACUAUAUAUUCGAUUCAUAAAUACUUUCCUGCUAGUUUUUACACUGAUUUUGAUAUUGUGGGGAUGUAGCAAAUAAGAUGAGAAAACGUGAAGCAGUCACUGAGUUUUCACAUCAAACAGCCAACCACGCCAUUUGAAGCCAACAUCUCUCUCAUCUCUUACAGAUACACGCCCCUGUUGAAUGUCUCCCUCGUGUGGGUCACCGCCAAUAUCAAAAUUACGCACCCCUUAUCCAUUCCCUGAAUACCGUGAUAUGAAUUUGAGGCCACAUCACCCACAGCCGCCCUAACUGGGGGGGCCACACGAGCACGGGCAAAGGCUGAGACUUGUGCUCCGCGUCCUUUGACAAAGGGCAUUUUCCUGCCCUGAAGAAAGAGAAGAAUCUCUGGUGGUUGGAAAAAUUAAGCAAAUGCACAAGACGAAGUGUAAAACUGCAAGGCAGGGUCACGGGGAGUGCUGGAGCAAAUACACGCCCCUGUUGAAUGUCUCCCUCGAGCUGUCAACGGGCCGCAGGCGGGGUACACCCUGAACUGGUCGCCAGCCAAUCGCAAGGCACACAGAGACAGACAGGUAUGCUCACAAUCACACCUAUGGGCAAUUUAGAGAGUCUAAUUAAUGUUGCAUGUUUUUGGGAUGUGGGAGAUAAACCGGAGUGCCCGGAGAAAACCCACGCAGGCACGAGGAGAACAUGCAAACUCCACAGGGAGGGCUGGGAUUGAACCCAGGACUUCAGAACUGUGAGGCCAACGCUUUCUACGUUCUACGCAAUUUACCCAUCUUGUUAUUUCAGUUCUAGAAUCGCAUUUUAUUCGAAGGUGUACCUAAUGAAGUGGCCGAUGCCCACAUGAAGAGACAUGCUAACUACGCUAUAAAUAUGCAAAUAAGCUUGUGUCAACUCGUGAGUACAGCGAAAGUGACAUCGACAAUCGCUGAGACCAAUCAGGACAAACUUAUCCAGUUUACAUAUGUAGUCAAAAAACAUGGGGGGGGGGACGCCGGCGAGGCUUGUCGUACACGUCGCAUUAGCAUGCAGCGUUGUCAGAUUAAAGAGGAUGGAAAAUAAUGCUAAUAGUACAAUAACGAGAUUUAGCGAGUAGCUAUCAAGUCUGCCGGAUGCCAACUCCAAUCUUGAAAACCUUGUAAGUCUGGUCGCUUGUAUCUCGAGUGAUUAUGUUUGAGUGGGUAAAAAUGUGAUUUAUUUACAAAGCGGUUGUGAUAGCAUGCCAGGCGACACAAACUGGCGCCGAAACCGAGUUGCAGCCAGUAAAGCGCUUCAAAAAUAAACUUGUCUUUCCUCUUUGCUAAUUCAAGUGAAAAUCAUCUGUCUCGGAUACGCCGCCAUCGCCUCCGCUGAUCCUGGCUUUUAUUUAAGCCUCUCGCUGGGAUUUACCUGCUAAUGUAAAAAACGAUACCAGACACGGGCAGAAUAUUGUGUUGUGUUUGUGUUCGACUUCUCCUCCAAGGAAGCCCGCUACACGUGGAGUACAAAAAGCGCGUCAAUAAAACGACUUAUUUCACGAGGACGCUUCAGAUGAAUUGGCUGCGACGCAAACGACGGGCUCUGGACGACAACUUUAAUUGGAAAUUCUGUCAGUGCGCGUGCGUCUCUCCUGAUCGAUGGUUUACAUUUGCAUGAAAAAAAAAUACAUUAAUAGUGACAAAUCCAAUUAAUUGCUGACUGUUUAGCAUUAGCAAAACUUGUUCUAAUGACGCUUUGCACCAACAUCGACGCAAAACCUCCACCAAAAUCAUGUACUGUCAUUUAAUUUACACAAUAAAUACAUAAUCGUGAGGUUGUUAUGGAUAUAUCAAAGUCUGCGCCUCCGUUGAACCCCUGACGAGAAAAAAAAGGCUUUAAUUAAUGACAGCUGACGAAUGUGCGUACAUUGGCAGCCCAAACAGUUUAACAAUUAAAAACAAAAAUAUGAGCUGACUGGACAAAGAAGUAGGUCGAUAUUAAACUGCACACUUCUGCAUAUUCAUCUUUGUGGCUGAGCGCUUCCUUCUGCUUUCAAGCAUUACAGCGAUCAGUAUUGAACAAAACAAGAUGACAAAUUUGAAAUAAUUGGACACUCUAAAUUGCCCCUAGGUGUGAUCGUUGUCUGUCUCCAUGUGCCCUGCGAUUGGCCGGCAACCGGGCCAGGGUGUGCCCCGCCUCCUGCCCGAUGACAGCUGGGAUUGGCUCCGGCACUCCCCGCGUCCCUCGUGAGGAUAAGCGGCAAAGAAAAUGGAGGGAUGGAUGAAUGAUUACAUGUAAAUGUAUUGUACUUGGAAGUUAAAUAAAACUAAACUGGAUUCAAUAAA
Long non-coding RNA from Syngnathoides biaculeatus (alligator pipefish), 2718 nucleotides. RefSeq lists it as uncharacterized. The transcript has 3 exons. NCBI's taxonomy places the organism in Eukaryota, Metazoa, Chordata, Actinopteri, Syngnathiformes, Syngnathidae. The record is from RefSeq and is a predicted model, not a curated record.